RNAcentral lists this ribosomal RNA (554 nucleotides) under uncultured bacterium. RNAcentral describes it as "partial 16S ribosomal RNA". It matches the Rfam family "Bacterial small subunit ribosomal RNA", at positions 355 to 900 of the family's 1533-position model. The record is from RNAcentral.
UAGGGAAUCUUCCACAAUGGACGCAAGUCUGAUGGAGCGACGCCGCGUGAGUGAAGAAGGUCUUCGGAUCGUAAAGCUCUGUUGUUGGUGAAGAAGGAUAGAGGCAGUAACUGGUCUUUAUUUGACGGUAAUCAACCAGAAAGUCACGGCUAACUACGUGCCAGCAGCCGCGGUAAUACGUAGGUGGCAAGCGUUGUCCGGAUUUAUUGGGCGUAAAGCGAGCGCAGGCGGAAUGAUAAGUCUGAUGUGAAAGCCCACGGCUCGACCGUGGAACUGCAUCGGAAACUGUCAUUCUUGAGUGCAGAAGAGGAGAGUGGAACUCCAUGUGUAGCGGUGGAAUGCGUAGAUAUAUGGAAGAACACCAGUGGCGAAGGCGGCUCUCUGGUCUGCAACUGACGCUGAGGCUCGAAAGCAUGGGUAGCGAACAGGAUUAGAUACCCUGGUAGUCCAUGCCGUAAACGAUGAGCGCUAGGUGUUGGGGACUUUCCGGUCCUCAGUGCCGCAGCAAACGCAUUAAGCGCUCCGCCUGGGGAGUACGACCGCAAGGUUGAAAC